Molecule: long non-coding RNA, 5680 nt
Organism: Cavia porcellus (domestic guinea pig)
Lineage: Eukaryota; Metazoa; Chordata; Mammalia; Rodentia; Caviidae
Exons: 2
Source: RefSeq, a predicted model, not a curated record
GUGAUUCCUCUGAACAUCGGUCCUGCAGGAAUUGAUACUGCUUAAUUCGCUGGACGAUUCUUACCAGCUGAAGCCAGACCCAGGCAGGGUCCAAGCUGAAAGCUCUAGUAUAGAGUAUCAGUAUUUUUGUUUCAUUUAAAGUCAAAAGCGAGCCGGGCGUGGUGACUCACGCCUGUGAUCCCAGCACUCGGGAGGCUGAGGCUGGAGGAUCGUUACGAAUUCAAGACCAGCAUGGGGUACAAAGUGAGCUCAAGGCCAGCCUGAACUGCAUAGCGAGACCUGUCUCAAAAAGACAAAAAAAAAAAAGGGUCAAGAGCCGAGGCAGAGCGUGGUAGCACACAUCUGUCAUUCCAGCACUGGGGAGGCUAAGGCAGAAGGAUUGAUGAGAGUUCCAGGUCAGCAUGGACUACAUAGCGACUUCCUGCCUCAAAAUAAACAAAAAAGUAAAAUCAAAGGCGAAGGAGGAAGCUGUGUUUGGGAUUUUCGUAGUCAAGUUUUUAUUCAGGCUUUCCAAUCUAUGAAAAUGAAGUUGUGAGUGCUGCCUUACAUUAGCAAUCUGAAACUGGCUGUCAGAACCCUGCUACUGACCCAGAGAGGUGGUACAGUCCUGCAAUCUCACAAUCUCAGCACAAGGGAGGCUGAGGCAGGAGUAUUCUUGCAAGUUUGAGACCAACCUGGGCUAUGAACAGCCCAAGGCCAGCCUGAAUUGCAUAGUGAGAACCUGUCUCAAAAAGACAAAAAAAAAAAAAAAAAAAAAAAAAGCCGUGCUACUAUUGAGACUGUUGUGUGGGAAAAAAAGAAAAUGAUGUGUGUGUGUGUGUGUGUGUGUGUGUGUGUGUGUGUCUGUGUGCAAAGGGUAAUUGGUCUCUUACACAUGAGUUAUAAAUAGCAAACAGGAUCUAGUAAAUUGGAUUACUUAAAAAUCCAGUACAUUUUAAGGAUCUUAUGUGAUUAACAUGACACAGAUCUACAUUGAAAACUACAGUACUCUGAAAAAGAGAUUGAAGAGGAUAUUAAAAUAUAAAGAGAUAUCUCAUGGUCUUAGGAAAAACCAAUAUAAUGAAAAUACUUCCAAAACCAGAUUCAGUGCAAUCCCAGUCAAAAUUCCAAUAACAUAUCUAUGGAAUUAGAGAAAACAAAUAAAAUUCAUCUGGAACCAGAAAAGACCUAGAAUAGCAAAGGCAAUCUUGGGUAACAAAGGCAAGAUGGGACAUCACAAUUCCUGAAUUGAAAUUAUACUAUAAAGCUACUGUGAUAAAAAAAAAAUUGUAGUAUUGUCAAAAAAACAGACCUCAAGAUCAAUGGAACAGAUUAGAAGAUGCAGAAAGAAACAACUCCAGACACACUGUGUCACCUUAUGUUUGAUAAAGGGACCAAACACAUUCACUGCAAGGAAGAUAACCUCUUUAAUAAAUGGUACUGGAAAAACUGGCUCUACAGAUGCUGAAGACUAAAAAUGUACCCAUAUCUUUCACCAUGCACUAAGCUAAACUCAGAAUGGAUCAAAGACCUUAAUAUUAAAACAGAAACAUUAAAUCUGCUGGAAGAUAGAGUAGCUAAAACUCUUGAAGACAUUGGUUGUGGCAAAGACUUUUUGAACAAAACUCCAAUUACACAGGAAUUAUCACAAAGAAUCAAAAAUGGGAUCUCACCCUACUGAAAAACUUUUGCACUCUACUGAAAAAACACCAACAGUGUAAAGAGACAACCCACAUUGUGGGAGAAAAUUUUGCCAGCAGUUCUUCAGAGGAUUACUUUUGAGAACAAAGAACUAAAAAAAAAAAAAAAAUUAGUUCUCCCAGAUUUAUAGAUCCAGUCUAAAAAUGGACAUCUGAGAUGAAAACAUGUUUCUCAGAUGAAAAAAAUCCAAAUAUCAAAUAAAUAUGUGAGAAAACGUUCAAUAUCACUGGUCAUUAGAAAGAUGCAAAUUAAAAUAACAGAUUCCACCUCACCAUGGAAUCAAUGGCUAUUAUCAAGAAAUCAAGCAGUAACAAAUUCUGGAGGGCUGUGAGGAAAAAGAAAACCUGUUGGUAGGAAUACAGACUGGUGCAACCAUUUUGGAAAUCAGUGUGGAGAUUCCUCAAAAAAACUAGAAAGUCCCAUUUGACCUAGCAAUUCCCCUUCUGAGUAUUUUGCCAAAGGAAUUAAAAAACAUCAUACCAUAGCAAUAUAUGAGCACCCAUGUUUAUACUAGUACCAUUUUUUAAAAAUUUUUUUAAAGAGCAGAAUGUAUUUAUUGAGAGAAAGAAAGCUUCUGGCUGGGAGAGAGACAGAGGGGGUCAUGAGUGGGUUGCCAAAGACUGUCUUUUCUAGACAUUUAUAGAGCAACACCACAAGAUGCAAUAGGUCUAAGGUGGGGAAAACACGGAAACUCACAAGGCAGGUAGGCAUGAAGUGGGACAGAACUAUGGUCAACCAAUCAGAUUAAUUGUUCAGGUAAAACUGACUAAAUUGGGAACAAAUGGGAAAGUGAGUCAUAUAGAAAGCAGGCAUCUUAAAGAGUAGUAACCUAGGAGCUGGGGGUUUAGCUCAGCGGCAUAAGCACCUGUCUUGCAAGCAGGCGGUUGUGAGUUCGAUCCCUAGUACCAAUAAAAAAGAAAAAGACAAAAAAAAAAAAAAAAAAAAAAAAAGAGUAGUGACCUCUUGUAGAGGGUUGGGAUGGUGACUUCUGACUUCCUCAAGGUGAUCCACACCAGAAUAUCAACCCCUAAUGUUUACACUUAGAUAAUCUACACUUAGAUUACAUUUUUUGCCUUCUGUCUUGAGAUUAGGCCCUCAGUAGAGGUGUCUUGUCUCCUCUAGGGUUGCAAGGUAGAUCUGGUUUCUGCACUGGCUCAGUCAAGGACGCAGCACUGUCUGCCUGCCUAUAAUAGUUCUAACCAACUCAACUGCCUGUCACAUUCCCCCUCUGAAGUAACCCAAACUGCUGUGAGGGACUAAUGGAUGAUGACUGAUCUGGCUUCUCAGGCUGAAAGAGGUUAUAGUUGUUGAUCAGCAGUCAAGGAUACUCUGCAGAGUGUCUAUCUAAAGACCCUUCAUAGACACCAGGCAUUUUUAUCUUGAGUAGCCGUACAGAUUUAAGUCUCUGCAUUUCAUUUUGGCUCUAAGGCAGGCCACACACACAUGCAGAAAAAUAUCAAAUGACUUUUUCAACAUGGAAGGAUUGAACAUAUUCCAGUGCUGAAUUAUUCCAGCUGGAAUGUAUUCCAGCCAGGGAUUUAGCUCAGCGGCAUAAGUGCCUACCUGGUAAGUAUCAGGUUUUGAGUUUGAUCCCUGGUACCACAAAAAAAAAAAAAAAAAAAGUAUCCCAAGGAAUAAGAGGUUUGACAUUGAGUUACCCAUGUCUAUCCAAUGAUCUCGGUGGAAGACCUCCAAAUGAUAUAGGGGAAUGAAACUCCCAAACUACUACAUAUCUGGUGAGUUCAUGUUCUCUAAAAUCAAAGGAUGAAUUUCAGGAACAAUGAAGGUUAAGAGCAGAAAUAUUUAUUGAGAGAAAGAAAGCUUCUGUCUGGAAGAGGGAUAGAAGGGAUCCUGAGUGGGUUGCCCUAGCCAUACAAUUUGUAAUAACUAGAUCUUGGAAACAACCUAAAUGCCCAUCCAUUAAGGAAUGGAUAAAAAGGAUGUAUUUUUAUACAAUGGAAUACUACUCAGUUAUAAAUAAGGAUAAACUGGAGACUUUUAUAAAUAAAUGGAUGCAACUUGAGACCAUAAUCACGAGUGAAAUAAAUCAAACACGUAUAAACACUGUAUUGUCUCAUCAGUGUAAGAAGCUGAAACAACAUAGGUAUAUGUAUGGUAUAUGUAUAUAUGUACAUAAAAAUAGUUAAGAUAGUUAUACUACUGAUUUCUCUGAGUUCAUUGAAGAGAAAAAUUUUUGCUAGUAUUGUUUGGAUAGUCGAAUACAGAUGUCUUGUGCUCUGGGUAAAUGAUUUGGGGAUGACAAUGCACAUUGUAUAUACCAUUGUUGCCCCUGAUUGACACAUUUUGAAAUUUGGGGGAUUUUUCCUCUUUGAAAUAAAAUGGAUUAGAAAAGUGGGGUGGAAAUUACACCUCCUCUAGAUUAAGUAUUUUCUUUAAAGUAGACUACAAACCAGGCAUAGUAACACAGGUCUAUAAUCCCAGCUAUGUGGGAGUCUAAGGUAAAAGGAUCACAAGUUCCAAGGCAGUGUGGGCAAUUAGAGACCACGAACACUUCAUUUUGCUACUCUGCAAAAAUCUCAUGGAUAAUUAAGAUUUGUUUAGAAUCUAGACUUGUGGGUACCUUAACUUUUAUGUUAUAUACUUUAUCAAUAUUGUGAUUGGUGACAGCUAGCACAUAGCACUGAGGAUUUUGUGAGUUAAGACUGAAAUAAAGCCAGGUGUGGUGGCUCACGCCUGUAAUCCCAGCACUCAGGAGGCUGAGGCAGGGAAAUUGUUGCAAGUUCGAGACCAGCCUAGGCUGCAAAGUGAGCUCGAGACCAUCCUGAACUGCAUAGUGAGAGCCUGUCUCAAAAAGAUUUUUUUUUUUUUUUUGUCUUUUUUCUUUUUAUCGGUACCGGGGAUCGAACUCACGACUGCCUGCUUGCAAGGCAGGUGCUUAUGCCACUGAGCUAAAUCCCCAGCCCCUUCAAAAAGAUUUUUGUUUGUUUGUUUGUUUGUUUUUGUCUUUUUCAUUUUUAUCGGUACCAGGGAUUGAACUCACGACCGCCUGCUUGCAAGGCAGGUGCUUAUGCCACUGAGCUAAAUCUCCAGCCCCUCAAAAAGAUUUUUUAAAAAAAGAUUGAAAUAAAUAUGUGGAUGCUAUGUAUAGGAUACAUAAAUUGACUAGUACAUAUAUUAAUGCUAAUGAAGAUUAAAUGCUUUACAAAAAUGCAUAAUAAAAGCAACUAAAACCAAGGAACCAUUGAGAAAAUUUGAGAACAGUUAUGUGCAUUGUCAUGGUACCGUAUGACCACACAUUUCCCCAUAUGUAGAAGACAAUAUAUAAUUCUGUUAUGGAUUAAGAACUGGUAGUCAACACCAGCUGGAUUACAUCAGCAUGGCAUUGAGCGAAGAUGCUCCACCUGAGGAAAGAUGCCAAGAUAAAUAGGUGGAGGGUUGAGGCGUUAAGGAGGCAUUAUGGGUUCUCCUACGAGUUGCUGUCUGAGCUGUCUGAGCUGGAGAAGCUUUGUUCCUCACAUCAGCAUUGCUUCCUGGCUUGGGACAUGUGCUGCGUGGUCUCCAGGAUGAACUCGUCACGCGGCUUCCUGGCACGUACCCGACUGUGCUUGUCCUUGGAGGAGCUCGGAGCCUCUGUGUCACUGAGGACAGCUGUGGUGCCUUUCAGGACAGCCCUGGUCUUUGUCGUGAGUGUGACUUCUCAGCUCCAGCGUAGAACCCUCAUCCCACUAGCACAGCUCCUUCAUCCUGCUGGCAUCCUGCUCCUUCAUCCUUUCUGGCUUCCACCACUGACCCUUGGGUCUUCCCAGCACGGAUCUGUAAAAGAGACUGGCGUGAGUCCUUCUUGUGGGCUCUGGACCUCCAGUUGGACUCGUGGGAGGCACUGUCCUGAGCUCUGGGUCUUUAUCUGGACUCAUGUGAGAUAUUGCUGUGGGGUUUAGGCUCUUGACUAAAUAAUCUAUGUCUUUGGUGUUACGGAUAGAUUUCCUGCAUUUUCCCGUGCUAACUUCCAGUGACCAUUAUAAAAAUAUUAUAAACUCCA